Molecule: ribosomal RNA, 484 nt
Filed under: uncultured bacterium
Lineage: Bacteria
Description: partial 16S ribosomal RNA
Rfam family: Bacterial small subunit ribosomal RNA
Source: RNAcentral
AUUGAACGCUGGCGGCAGGCCUAACACAUGCAAGUCGAGCGGAUGAAGGGAGCUUGCUCCUGGAUUCAGCGGCGGACGGGUGAGUAAUGCCUAGGAAUCUGCCUGGUAGUGGGGGAUAACGUCCGGAAACGGGCGCUAAUACCGCAUACGUCCUGAGGGAGAAAGUGGGGGAUCUUCGGACCUCACGCUAUCAGAUGAGCCUAGGUCGGAUUAGCUAGUUGGUGGGGUAAAGGCCUACCAAGGCGACGAUCCGUAACUGGUCUGAGAGGAUGAUCAGUCACACUGGAACUUAGACACGGUCCAGACUCCUACGGGCGGCAGCAGUGGGGAAUAUUGGACAAUGGGCGAAAGCCUGAUCCAGCCAUGCCGCGUGUGUGAAGAAGGUCUUCGGAUUGUAAAGCACUUUAAGUUGGGAGGAAGGGCAGUAAGUUAAUACCUUGCUGUUUUGACGUUACCAACAGAAUAAGCACCGGCUAACUUCGUG